This 452-nucleotide long non-coding RNA is filed under the name Ursus maritimus (polar bear). Its description in RNAcentral is "lncRNA (ENSUMAG00000025334.1)". Lineage: Eukaryota; Metazoa; Chordata; Mammalia; Carnivora; Ursidae. The record is from RNAcentral.
AAAUUGCUUCCUUGGAAGAUUUCUAAUUUUAAGUAUUUCCUUUUUACAGUCACACAAAAAGAAGUAUUAAGGAUUGCCUUUUAAGACUCUGAAGACUGAAGUGUUUCCUGACUCAGAGGUACUCUGUGAACAUCCAGCACCUGACUGGCUCUUGGAUGAGCUGUGGAAUAUAGAGUGAUAUCUUGAAGUGCCUGAUAAAUUGCAUGUCUGUCUGUGCCCCCUAGCUGCACAGGUAUGUAUAUGAAUUACCUAUAGUUAUGUAAAUCUGUGUAUUAACUGACGAGUUACUAGUUUUGUGUACUAAAAUUGCUUACAGAUUUCAUAAUGUGAAAAUGUUAAUUUUUGAGUACUUAUAAAUAUUGACAGCUUCAAAGGAGAGUGCAUUUUAUACAUACCUUGCAUUUCACUCUAUUGUAAGAAUCAAAUAAACAUUUCUAAGAUUUGAUGAGGCA